RNAcentral lists this long non-coding RNA (480 nucleotides) under Homo sapiens (human). Its description in RNAcentral is "AADACL2 antisense RNA 1". Lineage: Eukaryota; Metazoa; Chordata; Mammalia; Primates; Hominidae. The record is from RNAcentral.
GGUUCCCGCUCGCGCCUCUCCCUCCACACCUCCCUGCAAGCUGAGGGAGUGGACUCUGGCCUUGGCCAGCCCAGAAAGGGGCUCCCACAGUGCAGCCGUGGGCUGAAGGGCUCCUCAAGUGCCGCCAAAGUGGGAGCCCAGGCAGAGGAGUCGCCGAGAGCGAGCGCGGGCUGUGAGGACUGCCAGCACGCUGUCACCUCUCAAUAACGCCCAUCCCAACGUUUCCUGAGGAAUAAUUUUGGUCGUGUUCCUGCUACUCAGCUUUUCGUGGUUCCUGCUCAUUUUCAGAGUCUAACAUUCCAGCUUUUCCGGAAAUUCUAUACUUUGAUGUAAAAGUUUUCAAAGAAAUGCUUUGGGCAGAAGAGACUCAUGGAAACUGGACACUAUAUCUGGAGCCAGGAAUAAUAGGAUCCGAGAAACAGUAACAAGUAUAAAACAAAGUGGUCUUGAACUCCUGGCCUCAAGUAAUCCUCCCCACUG